CCAAGGGCACCAGCACAGCAGGGCACAUACCCCAGUCAGAAGUUUCACAGGCAGACCAAGAAAAGUGUAUUCCAGCUCCUUUCUUCCACUGGCAUUUCCCUGGUCAAGCUGAUCCAGUCAUGAGCUCCCUAUCCCUAGUUAUACACGGUCCUCCUGGUAUUUUCUUUCCCACACUGGUAUCAUGCUCUUCCAUGCAAACAUCUACAGAGCAACCCAUAAGACGUGGCCUACCCAUUUCUUUUCUACCACAUGUCAAGGGCAUUAGGAGUUACAAGUUAAAAUACUGCCCAAACAGUGCUGCAAGAUCUGUAAUGUGGUCUCAGGCCCCAGAGUGAACAGGGGCUCACACUGUAACACAGAAGAAGGGGGAAUCUACAGUUCAAAAUCAACAUCCAGCUGUCUGCUAAAGGGGAUUUGCCUGGAGACUGUUUGUCUGUGCUUUCUGAGGGAGAAGCUAAGAAACCCUUGUGAGACCAGGCUGCAAGAAAAACUGCUCCACAGGAAGUGUAGAGGUGAGCCUGAACGGACACAGAACAGCAAGAUCCAAAGAAAAGGAAGUUUCUUGUGUGAUGAUUUCCAUUUUCUCCUCUUUCCUUCUCUUUUCAGGUCUCUGUCAAAUAAAACUGGGGUUAAAACACUUUCUCCUCUCCUUCUGAAAGGCAAACUGAUUGGUCCUUAUGAGACUCUUGGAGUGAAAGGAAUACAUAAAAUGGUAUUUACCAUUUGUGGCAUUGGAAAUGCUGCAGAUUUGCCAUGGCUGUGAGCAUCAGGGAAUAUCCCAAGCCGUUAGGAAGCCACAAAGAUCAUUGAGUAGCUGGAUGCACAGUAUUUGGACAGGUGACAGGUACAAGAAAAGCCCUGAGAAGACUGGGCAUGAGGCUUCAUCUGGAGCUGAAGAAAGAGGCUGUUUUUGGAAAGGUUGGUGGGAAUAGCUCCUGGAAAACAGGCUCUCCCUCUAGAGCCUUCCAUUCAGACCGGGAUCAUAUGGAACAUCCCUCCCCAUCUCCUUGCUGGUUAACCACACCUGCAGCAUCUCUGCCUCAUUUUUUUUGGAGAUUUCUCCGUCAAACGAAGGAGCUCUUUAACUCUAAAAGAGUUAAUGGUUUCUCUUAACUAAAGGAUGUGUGCAACACCCAGACGUCCCCCCCACAGUGAGGCACAGCUCCCAGAGCCGCCCUCCGGGGGUCCCGGCCGGUGUCCCGGGGCUGGCCCCGCCGGGAGCCGGGCGCUG
RNAcentral lists this long non-coding RNA (1231 nucleotides) under Cyanistes caeruleus (blue tit). RNAcentral's name for it is "lncRNA (ENSCCEG00000015149.1)". The record is from RNAcentral. Lineage: Eukaryota; Metazoa; Chordata; Aves; Passeriformes; Paridae.